This 5561-nucleotide long non-coding RNA is filed under the name Eucalyptus grandis. Its description in RNAcentral is "long non-coding RNA (EGRA_LNC005127)". Lineage: Eukaryota; Viridiplantae; Streptophyta; Magnoliopsida; Myrtales; Myrtaceae. The record is from RNAcentral.
UAGAUUAUGUAGUUACUUUAGUUGUUGGAAAUCCCAUCAGCAACAUCAUUUGAUUUUAUAACCCUCUUUUUUUGGGUUUAUGAAUCUGCAACCUUAGUUAAAUGAGCUCUAAUUAAAUUGAGCUCAUGUAUGAAUGUCUGAUGCAAAUAGCUCAAUGGAUGGUGCAUGAUCACAUCACCUUAUUAUCCAAUAUCUAUGUUUUGCUCAACUAGAGGGCAUGGCAGUUGUUGUUUUGCUUGGUGCAAGUUGUUCCUAGGAUUCAUCUUCUGGUACAUUGUCAUUGAAGAAAUUGUCUUGGCUUGUUUUAGUGUUCUGCAGCUUUUGGUCGUUGACUGCAUAACAACAUCUGUAUUUGCCCCCCCCCCCCCUCUUCUCUCUCUCUCUCUCUGUGAAAACGCAUGCACUUCUUUGAGCGUUAGGGAUGUGGAUCCGCUUUCCUGCACCAUACUCCCAUGUGUGUCUCAACAUAUGUCGGCUUUUGAUGCUUACUUCAUUCACAUGUGUCAACGGUUGAGAAGCGUUUUAAGGGUUACAGCAUGAACGGGAGCCCUAUGGUUGUUGAGUAUCUUCAUCCAAAAUAUGCUAUCUUCUAGGUGGCCUGCAAUUUGACUACCCUUUCUGUGUGAUGGUACAUUGUCAAUCUAAAUGCAGAAGUUCGAUACCGGAAUCAUACUGCAUAAUGAAGUAGAUAUUUUCAAGCAAAAAGCAACAAGUACAUAAGCAGAAUUCUAUGAUCUUUUCCAAAGUGGAUACUGGGAACACAUCAGGCCUAAGAUGUGCACUGUACUGCCUACAGCUAGAUAAAUAAUGGGCAUAUUUUGCUCCAAGUGAUCUCAAUUUUCCACCCAAGUAGCUGUAGUUGCUGCACGUCACGAAAAGAUCCAAGCUCAAAGCAAACUCAUUUGAUUUGACUAUAACUGAUUUUUGUCAUUUGUGUUUUCAAAGAGGUUGGCUAUUUGGGUGGAGCCUGUUUCUUGUUAUUGCGGUAGCAGUUCAGAGCUCACGAGGUGUGAUAUUGCUUGCGGAGUUUGGUUAGAGUGACAAGAUCAAUAGGCUGGAAAUAAAGGUGCUGAAGAUUCACCAUAGGCCUCGUCUUCUUUUUCGCUUGUUUUAAUGUAUAUUCACUGCUCCAAACGAGCUUGACUUGAAGCAUGUAAAAUUAGGGAUAUUUGCGGAGAACUUUGUCUAGGCAUGCAUGCAUUUUUCUUAUUGGAAGCUUUAUGAGCCAUUGAAUCUCAUUAUCAUGAACAAGGUUGCAGUUCCAUUCCGAUUUUGAUUACUUCAAACGCAUGGUCCAUGCGUCAUUGAUUCUCAAUGAAUGCCGUGUGUUAGAAUUCUCCAAAGUUGUAUCUAACGUCAAAUACCUAACAUGAUAUUUUGUUCUAAGACACUAACGAUAAAAGACAGCUCGUUCUGAGUAUCUAGAUAUGUUCUGAGUAUCUAGAUAUUUUCUCGUGACGGGUACGGUUCUUUUUCAUUCUUUCACUCAUUUCGACAUAACAUAUGGUGCUUUGGUUUGGGAAAGCAAAUGUAACUCAGUAAUAGGAAGAUUAAUCUGUGAUUAGUCAUAAGAGGGGAUCAUGAUUGUUCCUGGAUAUGAUAGAAACUCCCGGAGUGGUCAUUUAGUUAAUUUCAUUGUGGAAACCAAAUAGAAGAAGAAUUAAGUAUGCAGGGGAUGAGUGGAAGAAGAAUUAACCAAUUCAAUUAGGAGUGAUCUUAGUUAUAUGGUGUUUCCUUGACUAGUUCUUACUCAUAGAGUUAGUCUACACAAAAAGCAGUUUGAUUUGGCUUUAGGCUAUUAUUCUAGUUGCAAUUUGAUUUGGCAAAUAAAAUGCAUACAUUGCAAUCAAUCCUACAGAAUUUAUCAUGACAUAUCCUCCUGGAUCAAUGCCUCUGCCUGCCAAUUUGCAUUGCCGUUCUCCUAAAAAUCAUGAAAGGCCUGCAAUAGGAAGUUCCAUCCAAAAUUGCAUAGGUCCUUUAAUUCAUCCUGAAAUUGCAUUCCUCUUGAAAUGGAAAUCCUAGAUUCAAUGUUAAGACAAAGUUCCAUCCAAAAUUGGAUAGUGAUAUUCCAAAUGAAUCACAUUAGGCUAGUGAUACUUGCUGAACAAUUUGUAAAAAUCACAUUGAUUAAGAGUGAAAAUCACUAGAUUUCAAUUUGUAGUGAUCGAGAAAUCAAUCUCUAACUCUUAGCCUCUAUUCUGGCCUUCUUAAUAAAAGUAUGGCUAGUAUGAAUGUCGAGAUUUGAUUUUAUCAUUUUAUUUCUCUUUCGGGCUAAUUUAGAUAAUCGCUUGAUGAUCAUGCAUUAAAAAAUGAUGUCGCGAGUCCGAUUUCAAUGGGAUCCUGUUCCUGACCUUGUUUUCCAGGUGGGUCGGUCCGGUUCCUAAAUAUACCCGAUCCGGUUGCACACUCCUAGUUAAUAUUUUCUAAUUUAACUAAAUGGAAAGUACGGAAGUGUUGUAUACAUGUGGUUUUUGCAUUGCACCAAAAUAGAAUCAUUAGAUUAGGAAUUGCAUGAGAUUGGUCAAUGUGAUAUUUAUGGACGCCAGCAAUCUAAAGCCUAUGAUCCCUGUGCCUCGUUUUAUCAUGACAUUAACAUUAGCUACCACUCUUAGAAAGACAGAAAAAAAAAAAAAGACAGUUACAGCGUAUGGGCGGUGCAAGAGGCCUGAAACAUCACGGGAUUAGAAGGGCGAAGUCAGUCCACGAAGACUUGGACUGACAAUAGUCCAUGAUGAGCCAGCAUUGCUCCAAGAAGGAAUCAAACCAAAGAUUGACCCAAGUAUAAGGCACACGCUAAAGCAUUGACGGGUCUUCUUUUCCACGCUAGGAUCCGUCUUCUUUUUCUUUGCUAUAUUGCUUUUCUUUUCAUUAUCAAUUUGCUUUUUUGAUAAGAUUUUCCUUGGAUCCUCAGGGACGUUUGAGGUCUCUAGUCAGUUAAUUAUUUUGAUAGUUGAUUGAUUGGUGGCCACCGCUUGAUCAAGGAUUUUUUUUUUUUUUUUUUUUGGCCUAGCAGCACUUGAGAAGUAGGGCCUCUGAACUUUUUUCCAUGUCUGAAUUGUCUCCCAAAGAAAAGAUCAAGUGAUAUCAACGAAGGGGAGGCAAUGCUUGUUUUAUUCAUCAUUGUUCUAGCUUGUGAAAAGCUUAUGAUAUCGUACAUAUCAACGUUUUAUGAGUGACUUUUAUUGGUUAAAAAACGGUCGAUAAUGCAACUUACCUUAGUUAUUGUUGAGUUAGUAUUGUGAAUCUUCAGUUGUGAAGUAGCUAUUUUUUAUCAUAAAACAUAAAAAUUUUAGUUAUCAAGCGAAAUGUGGUAUACAUAUAGUUUUGCCUUGCAUUGAAAUCAAAUCAUUACAUUAAAAAUCGCAUUAUCUACCACUCUCCAAAGAAAAUAAAUAAAUAAAAGAAUAGCGUACCGGUAAGGGCAAAGUCAAAGUCUACGAAGACUUGGACUACCAACAGUCCAUGAUGAACCAGCUUUGCUCAGGAAGGAAUCACAUCAAUGAUUCAUUCAUUUGGUACUUUGUCCCUCACAUACGGGCAUUCAUGAACGUGGAGAUUCUAUCAAAAAGAAGGGAAAAAAAUGUCACUAGAUCACUUUGUCAAAUCCAACACCGACUCAUUGUUCUCCCAUUCACCCGCAAAAUUUACAUGGCAAUAAAUCGAUUUCCAAUUCUCAUAUUCAUUGAUAAUUUCAUUACACGAUUUCCUCCGAUUCUAUAAUUUCAUAUGAGAUUUGAAAAUCAAAUAAGAACAACCUCUAAGGAUGUCUUUAUGUCACUGAGAUUUUUUUUUUUUUUUGUGUGACCGGAAAAUGCUUUUAGCAAAUUCAAUUUCAGAGAAAGGGAAUCGGAAAAUUUUGAUUAUGGUGAAAACAAGUUGAAAAAGACUGAUUUUAUUGUAAUUGGUAAUAAGUGAAUCCACUAAAUGUAACUUGUAUCAUUAAAAGUAACAUGGAAUGACUAAUAAACUAGAAUUGAUAUCUUCUUCAUUUAUUCUAUAAUCCAUCAAAAUAACAUUGAUUACAAAGAAAAUAAGAUUGAAAUUAUGAAAUCAUAUUUGUAAAAUAUUAGAUAUAAUCGUGCUUUGGGAAUGUAGAAAAAUUGAGCAUCAAUAAAGUAUAGUCUUCUCACUUCAAAGCUUAGCAAGAAAACAAGGGUAAUGAUUCCUUCUUGCCAAGUCAUUUUUCUCUAGGCUUAUUGUUUUUAGGAUUAAUACCGCGAAGAAUCUCAAACUAGUAUAUCCGUGAUAAAUUUAUUCAAAAUUAAUUUUUUGAUCACCAAAAACUCAAAACUGGCAAAUUUGUGAUAAAUUUAUUCUCCAUUAAUUUCCGUUAAAUUGAAUAAAUAAUAAGAACAAACACAAACCGGUACACAUGUGAUAAAUAAAAAAUAAAACCCCAAACUAAUAGAGUGGUCAAUUGUAAAAAUUUGAUGUGGCUGUAUGUUUUGAGGCCUCUCUGCCCUCAACUUGAUCUAUGCUUCUAACUGAGAAAUGCUACUUGCACAAGCACACGCAAUAUGGCCUUGCCCAACAUCCAACCCACCCCACCCCACCCCCUCCCCCUUUUUCUUUUCUCUCACUCCACCUUUUAUAUAGGUUGUAGAUGUAAACUGUGGAAGCUUCAUGUGAUUGUAAGUUUCUGUUUUCAUUCUUGCAUACAGUGAAAUCACUUCUGAAGGACGAAGGAUAACAAAGCUCGAUCAGAUUUUGCUUAACGGAAACAACAUAGCUAUCGUAAGAAACAACUUCUUCCUUCUGCUGAUAUUGAUGUGGCUAUAUGUUUUGAGCCCUUGCAUCGAUAAGGAUGUGGUCUUGCCUAAAGUUUUGGUGAUCUACUAACUAGUAAGCAAUCGCCUUAACAUAACAGAAACAAUCAGCCACUCAGAGAGAUUCCUUCCAAUAUGUAGACUGAAAAUGCUUUGACGAUAUACUGAUGAAUUUUUAUUGGUCUUGAUUUUGUGGUAAAAGAGUCAUCAUUCCCUAUUCUUUACAAGAAUCUGGUCUUUUGUCUCAAUCAACCUUGUGUCCACCUCUUGAUAAAUAUAAAGCGUCAGUUGUGUGGCAGUUAUGUUAUUGAAAAGCUAGAAUUCUGCUUUGAAGUGCUUGAACCACUCAAGUGAUGAUGCCUUCCUUUUUUUCUUAAUGCAGUUAGUCCCUGGUGGCUCCCCUGAUCUGGAAUGAGUUGGAUUCAUCCUCUAACCUCAGCAGUAGAUUAUGUAGUUACUUUAGUUGUUGGAAAUCCCAUCAGCAACAUCAUUUGAUUUUAUAACCCUCUUUUUUUGGGUUUAUGAAUCUGCAACCUUAGUUAAAUGAGCUCUAAUUAAAUUGAGCUCAUGUAUGAAUGUCUGAUGCAAAUAGCUCAACGGAUGGUGCAUGAUCACAUCACCUUAUUAUCCAAUAUCUAUGUUUUGCUCAACUAGAGGGCAUGUCAGUUGUUGUUUUGCUUGGUGCAAGUUGUUCCUAGGAUUCAUCUUCAGGUACAUUGUCAUUGAAGAACCUGUCUUGGCUUGUUUUAGUGUUCUGCAGCUUUUGGUCGUUGACUGCAUAACGACGUCUGUAUU